Molecule: ribosomal RNA, 468 nt
Filed under: uncultured bacterium
Lineage: Bacteria
Description: partial 16S ribosomal RNA
Rfam family: Bacterial small subunit ribosomal RNA
Source: RNAcentral
GACGAACGCUGGCGGCGUGCUUAACACAUGCAAGUCGAACGGAAAGGCCCUGCUUUUGUGGGGUGCUCGAGUGGCGAACGGGUGAGUAACACGUGAGUAACCUGCCCUUGACUUUGGGAUAACUUCAGGAAACUGGGGCUAAUACCGGAUAGGAGCUCCUGCUGCAUGGUGGGGGUUGGAAAGUUUCGGCGGGUGGGGAUGGACUCGCGGCUUGUCAGCUUGUUGGUGGGGGAGUGGCUUACCAAGGCUUUGACGGGUAGCCGGCCUGGGAGGGUGACCGGCCACAUUGGGCCUACGAUACGGCCCAGACUCCUACGGGAGGCAGCAGUGGGGAAUAUUGCCCAAUGGGCGGAAGCCUGAUGCAGCAACGCCGCGUGCGGGAUGACGGCCUUCGGGUUGUAAACCGCUUUCGCCUGUGACGAAGCGUGAGUGACGGUAAUGGGUAAAGAAGCACCGGCUAACUACGUG